RNAcentral lists this long non-coding RNA (1054 nucleotides) under Strigops habroptila (Kakapo). RNAcentral describes it as "lncRNA (ENSSHBG00005009881.1)". Lineage: Eukaryota; Metazoa; Chordata; Aves; Psittaciformes; Psittacidae. The record is from RNAcentral.
CCGAGGCGCCCCUCACCGCGGUCCCGCUCCUCCGGCCACCGUUGGCGGCGAACGGGUGAGACGAUCGGAGCCGGUGUUCCCCGCUGGAGGGUGCGCGGCGAUCGCCCGGCCAGGGCAGGGGAGUGCCGAAACGCCGCUUCCCGUCGGUGAAAGCCCGCUCCCCCACAUCAGGAGCGGCGCCUGCCCCUGGCCCCUCUAUGCGGAGUGAGAGCCGCCUCGCUCGGGCACGGCCGCUCACCGGAGCCAUGGUUCGCUUUCCCGCCGGCUGCCCUCAAGGAGAGCGGUGUCCUCCUCCGUCCCGCUGCCGCAGCGGCAGGGAGAUGCGGGGCCUGACCCGGCCGCGCGGAGCCCGGCGCUGCCGUCCCGCGGGGCUGGGAGCGGGAGGGUGCGAGCGGAGCUCCGAGUGCGCGGAGGGGGACGCGGGGGUCUGUGUGGAAGGGACGCGAAGGUGGCACCGCGAGGAAUCAAUAACGGGAAUUCUCAGUAGUGCGGAAAAGCGCUACGUAACGGUAUUAAUAAAUAACGACUCCAUCCUGGGUCCGAGCAAGGAACAGCGGUGAAGUGGGGGCUCUCGGCUGUAGGGGUGACGUUCCGCAUGCGGUAAAUCGGGUACUCUGCCAAGGACUGGACUUGGGGAAAGCCGUUUACGAAAGGAGGAUACCACCGAGCUUACUUGGCUUCGAACCAAUAUAAAGCCAUAGAUUGACAAUAUCUUUGUGUUCCUGUAUGCACCAUGAGGAAGCAGGUCAGAACAUGCCAAAAGCAAUACAAGUUUAGUCUGUUUUUCACAGUAAGUCUGGAAAUAUAACGGCUUUUUUUUGGAAUCUUGCUCGUCCUGAGGGUGUGACAGGACUGUAUCCGGGGUUGCUGCAGCUGCCUUUUUCUGGCCAGAGAAAUCCAACUUGGUGAGGCUUUUACGGGUGAUAAUGACUAGGGGUAGGGAGGUCUUCUGCUCCUUUCUUGGGUGCAGCAUGAGGGAGUGUAAAAGCUUGGAAGUUACAAAUCUUUUAUUAAAAAAAAUAAACCUUUAAAACUGGAACAACAUUUUAAAAUA